RNAcentral lists this ribosomal RNA (229 nucleotides) under Francisella tularensis subsp. holarctica. RNAcentral's name for it is "partial 23S ribosomal RNA". It matches the Rfam family "Bacterial large subunit ribosomal RNA", at positions 233 to 496 of the family's 2925-position model. The record is from RNAcentral. Lineage: Bacteria; Pseudomonadati; Pseudomonadota; Gammaproteobacteria; Thiotrichales; Francisellaceae.
GAUUCCCUUAUUAGUGUCGAGCGAAGUGUGUAGAGCAUGGUAUGAUUUAGCUGUAAUUAUAGUAGAACAAGUUUGGAAGCUUGACGAUAGAUGGUGAUAGUCCCGUAUACGAAAUAAUAACAGUGGAACUAAGCAUACGAACAAGUAGGACGGGGCACGUGGAACCUUGUCUGCAUAUGGGGGGUCCAUCCUCCAAGGCUAAAUACUCCUGAAUGACCGAUAGUGAACU